This 712-nucleotide ribosomal RNA is filed under the name Nocardioides sp. R75-2(2010). RNAcentral's name for it is "bacterial SSU rRNA". It matches the Rfam family "Bacterial small subunit ribosomal RNA", at positions 52 to 770 of the family's 1533-position model. The record is from RNAcentral. Lineage: Bacteria; Bacillati; Actinomycetota; Actinomycetes; Propionibacteriales; Nocardioidaceae.
UACAAUGCAGUCGAGCGGAAGGCCCUUUCGGGGGUACUCGAGCGGCGAACGGGUGAGUAACACGUGAGUAAUCUGCCCUUGGCUUUGGGAUAAGCCCCGGAAACGGGGUCUAAUACCGGAUACGACAACUCCACGCAUGUGGUGGUUGUGGAAAGUUUUUUCGGCCAGGGAUGUGCUCGCGGCCUAUCAGCUUGUUGGUGGGGUAAUGGCCUACCAAGGCUUCGACGGGUAGCCGGCCUGAGAGGGUGACCGGCCACACUGGGACUGAGACACGGCCCAGACUCCUACGGGAGGCAGCAGUGGGGAAUAUUGGACAAUGGGCGGAAGCCUGAUCCAGCAACGCCGCGUGAGGGAUGACGGCCUUCGGGUUGUAAACCUCUUUCAGUACCGACGAAGCGCCGAUGAUGGUGGUGACGGUAGGUACAGAAGAAGCACCGGCCAACUACGUGCCAGCAGCCGCGGUAAUACGUAGGGUGCGAGCGUUGUCCGGAAUUAUUGGGCGUAAAGGGCUCGUAGGCGGUUUGUCGCGUCGGGAGUGAAAACACCGGGCUUAACUCGGUGCUUGCUUUCGAUACGGGCAGACUAGAGGCAUGCAGGGGAGAACGGAAUUCCUGGUGUAGCGGUGAAAUGCGCAGAUAUCAGGAGGAACACCGGUGGCGAAGGCGGUUCUCUGGGCAUGUCCUGACGCUGAGGAGCGAAAGUGUGGGGAGCG